UACGGAGGGUGCAAGCGUCACUCGGAAUUACUGGGCGUAAAGGGCGCGUAGGCGGCCCGCACAGUCGGGCGUGAAAUCCCCAGGCUCAACCCGGGGACUGCGCCCGAGACGUGCGGGCUCGAGGAUGGAAGAGGGUCGCGGAACACCCAGUGUAGAGGUGAAAUUCGUAGAUAUUGGGUAGGACACCGGUGGCGAAGGCGGCGACCUGGUCCAUUACUGACGCUGAGGCGCGACAGCGUGGGGAGCAAACAGG
Molecule: ribosomal RNA, 253 nt
Filed under: uncultured bacterium
Lineage: Bacteria
Description: partial 16S ribosomal RNA
Rfam family: Bacterial small subunit ribosomal RNA
Source: RNAcentral